RNAcentral lists this long non-coding RNA (1893 nucleotides) under Cyanistes caeruleus (blue tit). Its description in RNAcentral is "lncRNA (ENSCCEG00000019601.1)". The record is from RNAcentral. Lineage: Eukaryota; Metazoa; Chordata; Aves; Passeriformes; Paridae.
GCCUAAAGUGUCAAAGGCUUUGCUUUCAGAUUUACCCCAAGUCUAGAACUAAACAGAAGAGUUUAACUAAUGGCAAAACAGGCUUCAGAGCAGAGCUUUUCACCCCCCUGCUGGGACAAGAACUGCAAUGGAAAUAUCACAGUUACAUUUUAAUAUCUUUAGAAAGUCUUUUCUAGCUACAGGCAGCCUCCAAGUCUCCUUGCCUACCUUACUCCAACUGCUGGGCAAGUUGUUUCCAACCCGGAAGCCCAAAUGCCUGGUGAUGAUGAGUCCAAUCUUGGCCACUUUGUUAUGUUUUUCCACGGGCUGUGAGUGGAUCCCUGUGAAAUCCCCUAUGGAUUUCAUGCAUUCUAAGGGUUUGUUUCACCAUGGGCCUCCCCAGGGCUCGCAGAGGAAUCUUGGAGCACCUCCUGCCCUCUCCUUCCCACCGGCCUUGGUGCUGCCAUGUUGUUUUCCCUCACACGCCCUCACUCCCUCCUCUCCUGAUCAGAAGAGAAACUGCUGCUCGUGGGUGCCAUUGCCAACAAAUCCCACUAAUUCAAAGACUCUUGCAGGAUCUGGCAGCACUGAGAAGUUGAUCUCACUUAGGUUCCACACAGGGGAAUCAUGCUUCCACAUCAUGCUUCUGCUGCAGGCCGGGCGGCCCUGCCACCAUCGCAUGAGCGGCGGUGGCCGUGGUGGUGCUGGAAUUAUUUAAUGCCUCUUGUCCUUGCAGUGUGCUGGGAAGGAGAAGCUGGAAUUAUUGAAUGCCUCUUUUCCAUGCAGUGUGCUGGGAAGGGGAAGCUGCCACUGCUGCCCUGCAGUGUGGCUGGCCGAGGGUGGCCACACAGGCACGGCUCGUGCAGGCCGCGCCGGGAUGGUGGCAGCCGUGGCACAUUGGCACGGGGCACGGUGGAAGGCAGCGGCGGAAAAGAACUGCACACACGUUGUUUUGAUUUUCUUCUGAAAUGUGUCAUCACAGAGGCUUUACCAGCCUCUCUAACUGGGCCAGCAGCGUGUCCAUCCUCAGAGCCAUCAGCUCUGUCAGACGUGGCGGAAGCUUCCGGCAGCUUCUCACACAAGCUACCCCUGUGGCCCCACAAACCAGGCUGUGCCAAACCAACACAAAACCUGGGAGUUUUGCAUCACAGCAGAAUUGUGAAUCAUAGAAGGACAUGUGCUUUGUCAAGACAUCAAACCAAAUUGAAAGCUGCAGGAAUCCAGGAGAGAAAGCACAGUAGCUGAAAAUGGACCCCUUUUUCCCCCAUCAUGAGCAACAUCAGAUCCAGUAUUCACUAACAAACACAGCCACAGGAGACUAAACCAUAAAGGAAGUUUCUCUUUUGCCUAUUGAACUGAAGGCAGCUGGUUGUAUUUUAAGGCACAGUAGAAAUUGGAUUGUGCCUGUAGAUAUUCCAGGAAUAACAUAAUACAAAAGAAAAAGAUUGAGAUUCUUACAGGAAUGAACACAAUGAUCAGACUGGCUACUUUUCAGCUUUCCACCUCCCUCCAUCCUUAGGGUAAGAAGCAGAACACUUCAUUGUCAUGAUCCAGAAGUGGUUUAUCAGGCUACUGACCUCUCUAUUCAUAAUUUGAUGGCCAUGUUAAAUUAUAACGAUGCAAAACUUGUUUGCUAGGUAAUGACACAACGUGUUUGAAUUGAGAGCUGUCACUUACUCUGUUUAGCACACACAAUAUGGAAAUUAAUUUCACAGAAAGUAACUUGCUCCUCUGAGGGAAAAGGACACUGCAGAUAUUUAUAGACUAUUUGAUUAGUUCCUUUCAGCAGCAUCAAGUAGGAUGACGCUGGAGCAGCCUGUAUUUACUUAAUACUGAACCUAUAAAGAAUCCAUCAUUUACAUAUUCUCCUCAAAAGCACCAGCUGUACAUUCUUAAAUAAAGUCAUAAAUGGCA